GCCAGAUCGGCGCCUCUCUCACUCUCCUCCUGACCUCGCCGAAACCCCCCUUCCAAACACCUACUCCCCGAACCCCGAAGGCGAUCCAUGGCGGCGGCGGGUUGGCUCCGGCGAGCGGCAUCGGCGGUGGCGCUGCCUCGCAUGCCGUCUGGACUCACCAUCAUGCCAGCCCCUCCCCCCGCUCCUCUCCCCGAGGCUCAGUCCCUCGUGCUCCCCGGCCUCGGCGCUGCCAUCGCCCCCGCGAUGGAACUCAUGGCCGUCCCCAAGAAGAAGAUCUCAAAAUAUAAGAGGGGUUUGAGAAAUGGACCCAGAGCCCUGAAGCCUGUUCCAGUAAUUGUCCGUUGCAGGUGCUGCGGGCGAGUGAAGCUGCCCCACUUCUACUGCUGCAGCGGAGAAAAAGGGAACGCCGGCGACUCCAGCUCAUAAACACCGGCUUUGCGCACGAAGCCGUGGCAGGACAUCUUAGUGCAAUGGAAAUCACCAGAUAUCGCUUUGUAUUCCGCUGCCUUCUCUUUGCGAGCAGUAAUCUACAUAGACUUUAGUUUGAUUUGCAUAAUCCCAUGGCGAACUUUAGUGAUGGUCUUUGCCAGGAGCGUGGGUGCUCUCUGAGAUGAGUGAUGGUUGAUUAUGUGUUGCUACCUUUCAGUAUGUAGGACGCCCCGUUCCUAUAUCAAAAUAAAAGGGGAAAACGGUAGCGUGUCUUUGUUUUGAUCAUCAUAUAGAACCGAGAAAUUAGACGUCUGUUCCGUCUCCCAUGGAAAAAAGAAGAAGAUAAAUUGGAUUUGGACAUUUUGGUUGUGACCGGUUUUUUUUUUGUUUUGAAAGUUAGCAGGAGAGGCCGAUCGGUUUAUUAGAGGAAAACUGGGUGAAAACCUUUACGAUGGAAGGAAAACCGGGCGAAAACCUUUACGAUGGCUGUGAGCGUGUGUUGCCUGUACUGAUAGUACAGACGGAAACCGGUACUCCAGUUUCAUGGGCUGUAAAAAUUGGCAGACCAGGAAAGAAAUAGAUGCCGCUGCGAGAUCUGGGGUGCCAUUUCUGUCCAUUUCGUGCCGAUGCGAUAUCGUGCGCGGCACAGGCGCACGGCACACACACGCAUGACACAUCCAGGGGGCAAAUCUCGUCAGGUAGGCGACGAAACGGCGGUCGUUGGCUCGGCUCGGCCGCCAGCCCGCGGCCACCAACCAAAACAAUCCCCCCGAACCGACGGAGCGUGCCGCGCCGAGGAAAGGAAGCCCCCGACCCCGGAAAGGCGCUGCGAAUUCUGUGUGGCUAUGGGGUCAGCGAGCAGAUAACGAAACGGAGGCUGCGGCUGCGCCCGGCGAUUCCCCCCCUGCCCCUCUCGUAGGCGCGCGCGCGUAGCCCCCACCAAAUCGGCCAGCGCUUCCUUCCAUUCCGCCAGAGGCAGAGCGGCAGCGAGAGAGAGAGAGAGAGAGAGAGAGUUUUGGUUGGUGGACACGCACAGUACAGAUGGCGUCGCCCUCCUCCUCGCUCUGCUCCAGCCUCGGCUACCCGCGCGCCGCCUCCCUCGGCGCCCGCCGCCGCGCCGGCUUCUCCUCGUCCAGGAAGCUAUUCCAAGUGAAGGCAUCAAGGGUCGACAGUUUCUCCAAGAGCGACAUCAUUGUGUCCCCUUCCAUUCUCUCUGCAAACUUCGCCAAGCUUGGUGAACAGGUAAAAGCUGUGGAGGUGGCAGGAUGUGACUGGAUUCAUGUUGAUGUCAUGGACGGUCGCUUUGUGCCAAACAUCACGAUUGGACCAUUGAUUGUUGAUGCUCUGCGUCCAGUGACUGAUCUUCCAUUGGAUGUGCAUCUGAUGAUUGUGGAACCUGAGCAGCGAAUUCCAGAUUUUAUCAAGGCAGGUGCUGAUAUUGUUAGCGUCCACUGUGAGCAAACAGCAACCAUCCAUCUGCACCGAACAGUCGACCAGAUUAAAAGUCUAGGAGCAAAGGCUGGAGUUGUCUUGAACCCCGGGACCCCACUCAGUGCGAUAGAAUAUGUACUUGAAUCUGUUGAUCUGGUAUUGAUUAUGUCAGUCAAUCCUGGUUUUGGUGGGCAGAGUUUUAUUGAGAGUCAAGUAAAGAAAAUCGCCGAUUUGAGAAAAUUAUGCGAAGAGAAGGGAGUGAACCCCUGGAUCGAGGUUGAUGGCGGAGUCAGUCCCAAAAACGCCUACAAGGUCAUUGAAGCUGGAGCGAAUGCCCUUGUUGCUGGUUCUGCGGUCUUCGGAGCUAAAGACUACGCUGAAGCUAUCAAAGGAAUCAAGACCAGCAAAAGACCUGUAGCCGUAGCAGCAUGAAGAACCGGAGUAUGAGCAUGUUACGCUGUGUAACAUUUUUUUUACCAUUAUCGUGGUUUGCAAUGCAUAGGUGCCUUUCACUGUCAAGCCAUACGUUGUAUCACAGAGAUCACCAUCAUCAGAUAGGGAAAAAGAGGCAGCACAGAAAGAUAGUUUCUUUUUCCAGUUGUCUGCGACUGCGAGGAUGUGUAUAUCUUGUACUAUGUCCACUCCAUAACAAGGGCAACGAACGACGUGUCCUGUGUGAUAACAUUACCGCGAGCUCAGGAUUGUUCAUAAU
This 2572-nucleotide ribosomal RNA is filed under the name Triticum aestivum (bread wheat). RNAcentral describes it as "partial small subunit ribosomal RNA". The record is from RNAcentral. Lineage: Eukaryota; Viridiplantae; Streptophyta; Magnoliopsida; Poales; Poaceae.